UACGUAGGGUGCAAGCGUUAUCCGGAAUUAUUGGGCGUAAAGAGCUCGUAGGCGGUUUGUCGCGUCUGCUGUGAAAACUGGAGGCUCAACCUCCAGCCUGCAGUGGGUACGGGCAAACUAGAGUGCGGAAGGGGCAAUCGGAAUUCUUGGUGUAGCGGUGAAAUGCGUAGAUAUCAAGAGGAACACCUGAGGUGAAGACGGGUUGCUGGGCCGACACUGACGCUGAGUGCGCGAAAGCCAGGGGAGCAAACGGG
Molecule: ribosomal RNA, 254 nt
Filed under: uncultured bacterium
Lineage: Bacteria
Description: partial 16S ribosomal RNA
Rfam family: Bacterial small subunit ribosomal RNA
Source: RNAcentral